This 94-nucleotide non-coding RNA is filed under the name Anopheles gambiae (African malaria mosquito). RNAcentral's name for it is "microRNA aga-mir-14 precursor". Its record names the gene aga-mir-14. The stretch from base 13 to 80 matches the Rfam family "mir-14 microRNA precursor family". Lineage: Eukaryota; Metazoa; Arthropoda; Insecta; Diptera; Culicidae. RNAcentral also lists the same sequence under 1 other name. The record is from miRBase by way of RNAcentral.
GCCCGAUAAGCCUGUGGGAGCGAGAUUAAGGCUUGCUGGUUAUCACGUUAAACGUAGUCAGUCUUUUUCUCUCUCCUAUCGGUACUAACGGUGC